AGAGUUUGAUCCUGGCUCAGAUUGAACGCUGGCGGCAUGCUUUACACAUGCAAGUCGAGCGGCAGCGCGGGGGCAACCCUGGCGGCGAGCGGCGAACGGGUGAGUAACGCAUCGGAACGUAUCCUGGAGUGGGGGAUAACCCAGCGAAAGUUGGGCUAAUACCGCAUGAGCUCUGAGGAGGAAUGCGGGGGACUCGCAAGAGCCUCGCGCUGCAGGAGCGGCUGAUGUCCGAUUAGCUUUGGUGGGGUAAAGGCCUACCAAGGCGACGAUCGGUAGCUGGUCUGAGAGGAUGAUCAGCCACACUGCACUGAGACACGGCCCAGACUCCUACGGGAGGCAGCAGUGGGGAAUUUUGGACAAUGGGGGCAACCCUGAUCCAGCCAUGCCGCGUGAGUGAAGAAGGCCUUCGGGUUGUAAAGCUCUUUCGGACGGAACGAAAUGGUUACGGUUAACACCUGUGACUGAUGACGGUACCGUAAGAAGAAGCACCGGCUAACUACGUGCCAGCAGCCGCGGUAAUACGUAGGGUGCGAGCGUUAAUCGGAAUUACUGGGCGUAAAGCGUGCGCAGGCGGUUUCGUAAGCUGGAGGUGAAAUCCCCGGGCUCAACCUGGGAAUGGCCUUCAGGACUGCGAGGCUAGAGUGCGGCAGAGGGAGGUGGAAUUCCACGUGUAGCAGUGAAAUGCGUAGAUAUGUGGAGGAACACCGAUGGCGAAGGCAGCCUCCUGGGCCAGCACUGACGCUCAUGCACGAAAGCGUGGGGAGCAAACAGGAUUAGAUACCCUGGUAGUCCACGCCCUAAACGAUGUCAACUAGGUGUUGGGGAAGGUGACUUCCUUAGUACCGCAGCUAACGCGUGAAGUUGACCGCCUGGGGAGUACGGCCGCAAGGUUAAAACUCAAAGGAAUUGACGGGGACCCGCACAAGCGGUGGAUGAUGUGGAUUAAUUCGAUACAACGCGAAAAACCUUACCUACCCUUGACAUGCCAGGAACUCUGCUGAGAGGUGGAGGUGCCCGAAAGGGAGCCUGGACACAGGUGCUGCAUGGCUGUCGUCAGCUCGUGUCGUGAGAUGUUGGGUUAAGUCCCGCAACGAGCGCAACCCUUGUCGUUAAUUGCCAUCAUUUAGUUGGGCACUUUAGCGAGACUGCCGGUGACAAACCGGAGGAAGGUGGGGAUGACGUCAAGUCCUCAUGGCCCUUAUGGGUAGGGCUUCACACGUCAUACAAUGGCGCAUACAGAGGGUUGCGAAGCCGCGAGGUGAAGCCAAUCCCAGAAAGUGCGUCGUAGUCCGGAUUGCAGUCUGCAACUCGACUGCAUGAAGUCGGAAUCGCUAGUAAUCGCGGAUCAGCAUGUCGCGGUGAAUACGUUCCCGGG
This 1375-nucleotide ribosomal RNA is filed under the name metagenome. Its description in RNAcentral is "bacterial SSU rRNA". It matches the Rfam family "Bacterial small subunit ribosomal RNA", at positions 8 to 1378 of the family's 1533-position model. The record is from RNAcentral.